This 253-nucleotide ribosomal RNA is filed under the name uncultured bacterium. RNAcentral describes it as "partial 16S ribosomal RNA". It matches the Rfam family "Bacterial small subunit ribosomal RNA", at positions 524 to 776 of the family's 1533-position model. The record is from RNAcentral.
UACAGAGGUCCCGAGCGUUGUUCGGAUUCAUUGGGCGUAAAGGGUGCGUAGGUGGCUUCUUAAGCGUGCAGUGAAAGCCUGGGGCUCAACCCCGGGUCGGCCGUGCGAACUGGGGGGCUGGAGCACUGUAGAGGCAGGCGGAAUUCCGGGUGUAGCGGUGGAAUGCGUAGAGAUCCGGAAGAACACCGGUGGCGAAGGCGGCCUGCUGGGCAGUUGCUGACACUGAGGCGCGACAGCGUGGGGAGCAAACAGG